Molecule: long non-coding RNA, 1473 nt
Organism: Ictalurus punctatus (channel catfish)
Lineage: Eukaryota; Metazoa; Chordata; Actinopteri; Siluriformes; Ictaluridae
Source: Ensembl
AUAUACACACGCACACAGCGGACACAUUCCUCACUCCUGUGUGUGUUUGUGUGUGAGAGUGAGAGAUGGGCAUUGUUCAGAGAUGAGGCAAAGCCUUAAAAUGUAAACAGGGCAUGGAGAUAGUGUCACUCCGAGACUCCGGUCGAGACGUAGACCACCCUCGCACCUCACACACACAGCCGGGUGGUCCGGCGUCACGAUCUCACACGGAUCUGUCAUGCUUAGCGCAGCUCUGUGACUUGCUCGUGCGCUGCUCUCCAUCACUACCACACACACAACAUUCCUAAUCGUCUCAAACGAAGCUCGCUCAGACGCAGCGGACAAAGCUGGCCGAUUCUCGGCAGGGCUGUGCGUUUGGGACGAAGCCCUCGUGGCUGUGCGCCAGGUUAUGUUUCUCAUUUUCACCACUGCUGUCCAGGGAUGGCUCCCUGCCUGUGUGUGUAAAUGUGUGAAAUGAAGUGGGGGAAGGCUGGAGAAACACCACUCGUGUCCAUCAUGCAUGAGCUGCUCCUGAUCGAUAAGACGAGCCGAGGAAAAGGAGUGGAGAGGAAUAAAAAGAGGGGCCACACUGACUCAUAAAUCCCCAAUGCAGGGGGAAUGAGGAGAGAGGGAGGGAGGGAGAGAUUGAGAGAGCAAGAGAGAGAGAAAAAUGAGAGCGCAUCAUGCUGCCUCAGCACUCCCCUGAUACACUCCCUUUCACUUUUUUCCCCCCUCUCCUAGGAAACAAAGGAAGGUACUGAAUAAUGGCACAUACCUUAAAUGAAUCACAAGUCACUGACUCAUUGACUCAAAUGAAUCAGGAAAGGUUUUUUUUUCCAUUUCUCACAAUAUUAACUCUAUAAAUGAUGGUGUGCCCUAUAGGCUUCCCUACAUACAAGAAAAUGAGAUGUACUGCCCUAUAGGCUUCCCUACAUCUGUAAAAAUGGGAUGUAGUGCACUAUAGGCUUCCAUACAUGCAAGAAAAUGAGAUAUAUGCCCUAUAGGCUUCCCUACAACUGAAAAAAAGAGAAAUAGUGCCCUAUAGGCUUUCCUACAUCCAAGGAAAUUAGGUGGUGUCCUAUAGACUUCCCUACAUCCGAGAAAAUGAGAUAAAGUGCCAUAUAGGCUUCCCUACAACUAGGAAAACAAGAUGCAGUGCCCUAAAGGCUUCCCUACAACCGAUAAAAUGAGAUGAAGUGUGCUAUAGGCUUUCCUACAUGUGGGGUUGGAGGGGGGGUGAGAUGAAGUGCCCAAUAGGCUUCCCUACAUACAAGAAAAUUAGAUGUACUGCCAUAUAGGCUUUCCUAUAACUGAGAAAAUAAGAUGUACUGCCCUAUAGACUUCCCUACAACUGAAAAAUGAGAUGAAGUGCUCUAUAGGCUUCCCUACAUCUGUAAAAAUGGGAUGUAGUGCACUAUAGGCCUCCAUACAUGCAAGAAAAUGACAUGUAUGCCCUAUAGGCUUCCCUACAACUGAAAAAAAGAGAAAUAGUGC